CAAUAGCGUAUAUUAAAGUUGUUGCAGUUAAAAAGCUCGUAGUUGGAUUUCUGGUAGGAGCGACCGUUCCGAACUUGAUUGUUCGUGUAUUGUGUUGUCUUCAGCCAUCCUCGUGGAGAACUUUUCGGGCAUUAAUUUGUCGGGAUUGGGACCCGCGUCGUUUACUGUGAAAAAAUUAGAGUGUUUAAAGCAGGCAAUCGCUUGAAUACAUUAGCAUGGAAUAAUAAGAUAGGACUUUGGUACUAUUUUGUUGGUUUGCAUACCAAAUUAAUGAUCAACAGGAACAGUUUGAGGAUAUUCGUAUGAACAUGUCAGAGGUGAAAUUCUUGGAUUUUGAUCAGACGAACUACUGCGAAAGCAUUUAUCAAGGAUGUUUUCAUUAA
RNAcentral lists this ribosomal RNA (383 nucleotides) under uncultured eukaryote. Its description in RNAcentral is "partial 18S ribosomal RNA". It matches the Rfam family "Eukaryotic small subunit ribosomal RNA", at positions 592 to 976 of the family's 1831-position model. The record is from RNAcentral.